GCCCAGGUGGUGGAAUUGGUAGACACGCUAGCUUGAGGGGCUAGUGGGAGCAAUCCUGUGCAAGUUCAAGUCUUGUCCUGGGCA
This is a non-coding RNA of Spirochaetes bacterium GWF1_49_6, 84 nucleotides long. NCBI's taxonomy places the organism in Bacteria, Pseudomonadati, Spirochaetota. The record is from Rfam.